Molecule: long non-coding RNA, 237 nt
Filed under: Lathyrus oleraceus (garden pea)
Lineage: Eukaryota; Viridiplantae; Streptophyta; Magnoliopsida; Fabales; Fabaceae
Description: Pisum sativum (pea) long non-coding RNA (PSAT_LNC037901)
Source: RNAcentral
AUUAUUACAGGUACAGUUGGUGACUUGUUGGUGACUUGUUAGUGACUUGUGAUCCUGUUGGUGACUAUUGGUUCAGAAUUUUGGGGUCUCAGAUGACUUUGGGUUUCAGAUGAAUUUAUGGUUCCGAGUUCAAGCCGAAGUUUUGAUCCUGUGUUCCGAGAGACACAGCCAACCAGUCAUGUCUGCAUCAUUUGCAUCAUAAGCAUAUUUAUUUUUCAAAAGAAACGCAAUAAAAAA